RNAcentral lists this ribosomal RNA (386 nucleotides) under uncultured Lactobacillus sp. RNAcentral describes it as "bacterial SSU rRNA". It matches the Rfam family "Bacterial small subunit ribosomal RNA", at positions 138 to 508 of the family's 1533-position model. Lineage: Bacteria; Bacillati; Bacillota; Bacilli; Lactobacillales; Lactobacillaceae. The record is from RNAcentral.
GGGGGAUAACAUUUGGAAACAGAUGCUAAUACCGCAUAAAUAUUCAAACCGCAUGGUUUGAAGCUGAAAGGCGGCUUUCGAGCUGUCGCUUUUGGAUGGACCCGCGGCGCAUUAGUUAGUUGGUGAGGUAAAGGCUCACCAAGACCGUGAUGCGUAGCCGACCUGAGAGGGUGAUCGGCCACAUUGGGACUGAGACACGGCCCAAACUCCUACGGGAGGCAGCAGUAGGGAAUCUUCCACAAUGGACGAAAGUCUGAUGGAGCAACGCCGCGUGAGUGAAGAAGGUUUUCGGAUCGUAAAACUCUGUUGUUGGAGAAGAACACAUUUGAGAGUAACUGUUCAGAUGUUGACGGUAUCCAACCAGAAAGCCACGGCUAACUACGUGU